This 65-nucleotide transfer RNA is filed under the name pig gut metagenome. It matches the Rfam family "tRNA", at positions 5 to 66 of the family's 71-position model. Rfam says of the family: Transfer RNA (tRNA) molecules are approximately 80 nucleotides in length. Their secondary structure includes four short double-helical elements and three loops (D, anti-codon, and T loops). The record is from RNAcentral.
ACAGUUAGUUCAGUGGUAGAAUACCUGAUUGUGACUCAGGUUGUCAUUGGUUCGAUUCCAAUACU